Molecule: ribosomal RNA, 418 nt
Filed under: uncultured Bacillota bacterium
Lineage: Bacteria; Bacillati; Bacillota
Description: bacterial SSU rRNA
Rfam family: Bacterial small subunit ribosomal RNA
Source: RNAcentral
UUUCGGGACAAGAGAGACAGGUGGUGCAUGGUAGUCGUCAGCUCGUGUCGUGAGAUGUUGGGUUAAGUCCCGCAACGAGCGCAACCCUUAAUUUUAGUUGCCAGCCGUAAGAGGGGCACUCUAGAAUGACUGCCGGUGACAAACCGGAGGAAGGUGGGGAUGACGUCAAAUCAUCAUGCCCCUUAUGACCUGGGCUACACACGUACUACAAUGGCCGGUACAACGGGAAGCGAGACCGCGAGGUGGAGCGAAUCCUAUAAAAGCCGGUCUCAGUUCGGAUUGCAGGCUGCAACUCGCCUGCAUGAAGUCGGAAUUGCUAGUAAUCGCGGAUCAGCAUGCCGCGGUGAACACGUUCCCGGGUCUUGUACACACCGCCCGUCACACCACGAGAGUUUACAACACCCGAAGUCGGUGAGGG